UGAGGAACAUGACCUUCGGCGGGGGAUAGCCGGCCCAACGGCCGGGUAAUACCGCGUACGACCAUUUGGGGACAUCCCCGAGUGGUGAAAGCAGCAAUGCGCCGAUGGAGUGCCUCGCGGCCUAUCAGCUAGUUGGUGGGGUAACGGCUCACCAAGGCGACGACGGGUAGCUGGUCUGAGAGGAUGGCCUGCCACAUUGGGACUGAGACACGGCCCAGACUCCUACGGGAGGNAGCG
RNAcentral lists this ribosomal RNA (237 nucleotides) under uncultured bacterium. RNAcentral describes it as "partial 16S ribosomal RNA". It matches the Rfam family "Bacterial small subunit ribosomal RNA", at positions 118 to 352 of the family's 1533-position model. The record is from RNAcentral.